UCGUAGGGCUUCGGUCCUGUCGAGAUAGCGUCCUUGCCUAUUUUUUGGAGUACCUUUUCGUUUCCUCGGCAGGCUUGCCUGCCACUGGGGACCCUUUAAACUCUUUGUAAAUACAGCAUCUGUCUGAAUAAACAAACAAAAUCA
RNAcentral lists this unclassified non-coding RNA (144 nucleotides) under uncultured fungus. RNAcentral's name for it is "sequence contains ITS1, 5.8S rRNA gene". The record is from RNAcentral. Lineage: Eukaryota; Fungi.